CCUACGGGUGGCAGCAGUGAGGAAUAUUGGUCAAUGGUCGAAAGGCUGAACCAGCCAAGUCGCGUGAGGGAAGACGGCCCUACGGGUUGUAAACCUCUUUUGUCGGGGAACAAAACGAACCACGUGUGGGUCCUUGUGUGUACCCGACGAAAAAGCAUCGGCUAACUCCGUGCCAGUAGCCGCGGUAAUACGGAGGAUUCGAGCGUUAUCCGGAUUUAUUGGGGUUAAAGGGGGCGUAGGCGGUCUGUUAAGUCAGCGGUCAAAGCCUGGGGCUCAACCCCAGCACUGCCGUUGAAACUGGCAGUCUCGAGUGGGAGAGAAGUAGGCGGAAUGCGCGGUGUAGCGGUGAAAUGCAUAGAUAUCGCGCAGAACUCCGAUUGCGAAGGCAGCACGCCGGAUCCAAACUGACGCUGAGGCACGAAAGCGUGGGUAUCGAACAGGAUUAGAUACCCUAGUAGUC
This 460-nucleotide ribosomal RNA is filed under the name uncultured bacterium. Its description in RNAcentral is "partial 16S ribosomal RNA". It matches the Rfam family "Bacterial small subunit ribosomal RNA", at positions 338 to 795 of the family's 1533-position model. The record is from RNAcentral.